AGCAGCCGCGGUAAUUCCAGCUCCAAUAGCGUAUAUUAAAGUUGUUGCAGUUAAAAAGCUCGUAGUUGAAUUUCGGGAUUGACACAUCGGUCGUGCCUUAAGGGGUAUGAACUGGUGUAGUCAAUUUCUCACCUUCUGGAGAACCGCGAUGCCCUUAAUUGGGUGUCACGGGGAACCAGGACCUUUACUUUGAAAAAAUUAGAGUGUUUAAAGCAGGCAUUUUGCUUGAAUACAUUAGCAUGGAAUAAUAAAAUAGGACGGCAUGAUUCUAUUUUGUUGGUUUCCAGGAUCACCGUAAUGAUUAAUAGGGAUAGUUGGGGGCAUUAGUAUUCAAUUGUCAGAGGUGAAAUUCUUGGAUUUAUUGAAGACUAACUACUGCGAAAGCAUUUGCCAAGGAUGUUUUCAUUAAUCAAGAACGAAAGUUAGGGGAUCGAAGACGAUCAGAUACCG
This 450-nucleotide ribosomal RNA is filed under the name uncultured Glomeromycotina. Its description in RNAcentral is "SSU rRNA". It matches the Rfam family "Eukaryotic small subunit ribosomal RNA", at positions 569 to 1017 of the family's 1831-position model. The record is from RNAcentral. Lineage: Eukaryota; Fungi; Glomeromycota.